Molecule: ribosomal RNA, 467 nt
Filed under: uncultured bacterium
Lineage: Bacteria
Description: partial 16S ribosomal RNA
Rfam family: Bacterial small subunit ribosomal RNA
Source: RNAcentral
ACGAACGCUGGCGGCGUGCUUAACACCUGCCAGUCGCACGGAAAGGCCCUGCUUUUGUGGGGUGCUCGAGUGGCGAACGGGUGAGUAACACGUGAGUAACCUGCCCUUGACUUUGGGAUAACUUCAGGAAACUGGGGCUAAUACCGGAUAGGAGCUCCUGCUGCAUGGUGGGGGUUGGAAAGUUUCGGCGGUUGGGGAUGGACUCGCGGCUUAUCAGCUUGUUGGUGGGGUAGUGGCUUACCAAGGCUUUGACGGGUAGCCGGCCUGAGGGGGUGACCGGCCACAUUGGGACUGAGAUACGGCCCAGACUCCUACGGGAGGCAGCAGUGGGGAAUAUUGCACAAUGGGCGGAAGCCUGAUGCAGCAACGCCGCGUGCGGGAUGACGGCCUUCGGGUUGUAAACCGCUUUCGCCUGUGACGAAGCGUGAGUGACGGUAAUGGGUAAAGAAGCACCGGCUAACUACGUG